UUAAGCAUAUCAAUAAGCGGAGGAAAAGAAACUAACAAGGAUUCCCCUAGUAACUGCGAGUGAAGCGGGAAAAGCUCAAAUUUAAAAUCUGGCGGUCUUUGGCCGUCCGAGUUGUAGUCUGGAGAAGUGCUUUCCGCGCUGGACCGUGUAUAAGUCUCUUGGAACAGAGCGUCAUAGAGGGUGAGAAUCCCGUCUUUGACACGGACUACCAGUGCUUUGUGAUGCGCUCUCAAAGAGUCGAGUUGUUUGGGAAUGCAGCUCAAAAUGGGUGGUGAAUUCCAUCUAAAGCUAAAUAUUGGCGAGAGACCGAUAGCGAACAAGUACCGUGAGGGAAAGAUGAAAAGCACUUUGGAAAGAGAGUUAAACAGUACGUGAAAUUGCUGAAAGGGAAACGCUUGAAGUCAGUCGCGUUGUCCGGAACUCAGCCUUGCUUUCGCUUGGUGCACUUUCCGGAUUGACGGGUCAGCAUCGAUUUUGACCGUCGGAUAAGGGCUGGAGUAAUGUGGCACCUCCGGGUGUGUUAUAGACUCCGGUCGCAUACGGCGGUUGGGAUCGAGGAACGCAGCGCGCCGCAAGGCAGGGGUUCGCCCACAUUCGCGCUUAGGAUGCUGGCAUAAUGGCUUUAAACGACCCGUCUUGAAACACGGACCAAGGAGUCUAACAUACCUGCAAGUGUUUGGGUGGAAAACCCGAGCGCGUAAUGAAAGUGAAAGUUGAGAUCCCUGUCGUGGGGAGCAUCGACGCCCGGACCUGACGUUCUCUGACGGUUCCGCGGUAGAGCAUGUAUGUUGGGACCCGAAAGAUGGUGAACUAUGCCUGAAUAGGGUGAAGCCAGAGGAAACUCUGGUGGAGGCUCGUAGCGAUUCUGACGUGCAAAUCGAUCGUCAAAUUUGGGUAUAGGGGCGAAA
This 908-nucleotide ribosomal RNA is filed under the name Ganoderma sp. RNAcentral describes it as "partial large subunit ribosomal RNA". It matches the Rfam family "Eukaryotic large subunit ribosomal RNA", at positions 34 to 928 of the family's 3401-position model. Lineage: Eukaryota; Fungi; Basidiomycota; Agaricomycetes; Polyporales; Polyporaceae. The record is from RNAcentral.